This 207-nucleotide long non-coding RNA is filed under the name Elaeis guineensis (African oil palm). Its description in RNAcentral is "long non-coding RNA (EGUI_LNC071627)". The record is from RNAcentral. Lineage: Eukaryota; Viridiplantae; Streptophyta; Magnoliopsida; Arecales; Arecaceae.
ACCGGUGGUUGCCACACCGGCUCGCCUUUUAGUUACCCCCUUCCUUCAACCCCAAUGGCUCUAUAAUGCAUACGAGAAGGCAAUUUUCCACUACCUUUUUUCUCGUGCGUUGAGUUGUCAUUUGCCGAGCUUCUUUUCGGCCCUUGUGUCAUUCGGAGGUACUCGGUUGCCAUCGCAUCGACCCAUCUUUUUCGUCCGUGGCCGCAG